RNAcentral lists this long non-coding RNA (201 nucleotides) under Elaeis guineensis (African oil palm). Its description in RNAcentral is "long non-coding RNA (EGUI_LNC064241)". The record is from RNAcentral. Lineage: Eukaryota; Viridiplantae; Streptophyta; Magnoliopsida; Arecales; Arecaceae.
UGAUAGAAUUCAUUGAUUUAUUUUAUUUCUUUAGGGAUAUACUUUACUUCUAUGGAAUUAGGUUCUCUCUAAACCUAUUCAUACUACACCGUAUGAGAUAUAGCAUGGUGAGAACUGAAUCUUAGUUAUUUCAAGAUAUAAGGAUGUCCAGCCUAUGUCUAGGAUAGCAGGUGGAUAUAUUAAAGGAUAGGUCUAUAAAGC